UACAGAGGUGGCAAGCGUUGUUCGGAAUUACUGGGCGUAAAGGGCGCGUAGGCGGCCACCUAAGUCAGAUGUGAAAUCCCCCGGCUUAACCUGGGAACUGCGUCUGAUACUGGACGGCUUGAGUAUGGGAGAGGGAUGUAGAAUUCCAGGUGUAGCGGUGAAAUGCGUAGAUAUCUGGAGGAAUACCGGUGGCGAAGGCGGCAUCCUGGGCCAUUACUGACGCUGAGGCGCGAAAGCUAGGGGAGCAAACGGG
This 253-nucleotide ribosomal RNA is filed under the name uncultured bacterium. RNAcentral describes it as "partial 16S ribosomal RNA". It matches the Rfam family "Bacterial small subunit ribosomal RNA", at positions 524 to 776 of the family's 1533-position model. The record is from RNAcentral.